GUGCUCACUUCAGCAGCAUAUAUACAAAAAUUGGAAUGAUAUAAAGAUGAAUAGCAUGGCCUCUGCACAAGGAUGACAUGCAAAUUUGUGAAGCAUUUGAUAUUUUU
Molecule: small nuclear RNA, 107 nt
Organism: Balaenoptera musculus (blue whale)
Lineage: Eukaryota; Metazoa; Chordata; Mammalia; Artiodactyla; Balaenopteridae
Source: Ensembl